UGGAAAGUGGAAGCGAAGGAUGAGGGCCUUCCUGCUGCCCCUUGGUCAUACUCACCAGUGAUAAGAUUGUCCACAAGGGUUGUAGGCAUGCAGAAGAUGCCCACCAGCAGGUCGCUGACGGCCAGGUUGAGGAUAAACAUGUUGGUGACAGUGCGCAUGUGCCGGUUCUUGAGCACGAUGAAGCAGACCAGAGCGUUGCCCACCAUGCAGAGGAGGAAGAUGAGCGCAUAGGCCGCGAUGAACAUGGCCGCCACUGGAGAGGAGUGCUGGUAGUAGGAGGAGAAGGCCAGAAGAGGGCAGCAGAUCCCCUGGAACAAGAGCUGACAGGGAACUCUGGCUGGCCUGGAACUACCUGCCUGCCUCCUGAAUACUGGAUUGGAAGUGGUACCCCAUCAUGGCUUGCUUGCCACUAGGAAGCACAGAGGACCACAGUGAUGGAUGCUUCG
This is a long non-coding RNA of Mastomys coucha (southern multimammate mouse), 446 nucleotides long. RefSeq lists it as uncharacterized. The transcript is spliced from 3 exons. The record is from RefSeq and is a predicted model, not a curated record. NCBI's taxonomy places the organism in Eukaryota, Metazoa, Chordata, Mammalia, Rodentia, Muridae.